This 173-nucleotide ribosomal RNA is filed under the name uncultured bacterium. RNAcentral's name for it is "partial 16S rRNA". It matches the Rfam family "Bacterial small subunit ribosomal RNA", at positions 355 to 526 of the family's 1533-position model. The record is from RNAcentral.
GGGGGCAUCUUAACGGGGAAACCCUGAUCAGCCAUGCCGCGUGAGUGAUGAAGGCCUUCGGGUGGUAAAGCUCUUUCUUCAGGGAAGAAAUGGAGAGUGCUAAUACCAUGGGGAGAUGAUGGUUCCUGCCUAAUAAGCACCGGCUUACUACGUGCCAGCAGCCGCGGUAAUAA